AGUUAAUUUGCUAAUUCACUUUGUUAUAAGAGUACUACUAUAAAAAGAAAGAAAAAAAAGUAAAGGUAAGAAUAUAACAUAUUUAACUAGGGAUAAUUUGAAUUAUUUUUUGAAACAAAGGGACUAAAUAAAUAUUUAAUCAAAAUAAAGGCACUAAACCAACGUUUACUCAUGGUUAAACAUGCAUAUCAUAUGUAUAUACGGUCAUUAUCCUACAACUACCCUUAUUUCAGGAAAAUAUCAAACAAAUCAAUUUAAACGAGAGAACUACCAACGACCCCUCAAUGUUACAUGAAAAUAUGUUUUUUUUAACAACAUGGAAAUAUACUUAAAAUAUGUAAUUUCUAUGCUAAUGA
Molecule: long non-coding RNA, 356 nt
Filed under: Citrus x clementina
Lineage: Eukaryota; Viridiplantae; Streptophyta; Magnoliopsida; Sapindales; Rutaceae
Description: Citrus clementina (C. clementina) long non-coding RNA (CCLE_LNC001776)
Source: RNAcentral